GUCUAUGGCCAUACCACCCUGAAAUGUGCUAGAUCUCAUCUGAUCUCGGAAGCUAAGCAGGGUUGGGCCUAGUUAAUACUUGGAUGGGAGAAAAUAUGUUCAAACUAAAAUUUAGUAAUAUAAAUU
This is a ribosomal RNA of Colobus angolensis palliatus, 126 nucleotides long. The record is from Ensembl. NCBI's taxonomy places the organism in Eukaryota, Metazoa, Chordata, Mammalia, Primates, Cercopithecidae.